RNAcentral lists this small RNA (260 nucleotides) under Nomascus leucogenys (northern white-cheeked gibbon). RNAcentral describes it as "Metazoan signal recognition particle RNA (ENSNLEG00000031176.1)". Lineage: Eukaryota; Metazoa; Chordata; Mammalia; Primates; Hylobatidae. The record is from RNAcentral.
GCCAGGCAUGAUGGCUCAUGCCUGUAAUCCCAGCAUUUUGGGAGGCCGAGGCAGGAGGAUCACUUGAGCCCAGGAGUUCUAGACCAACCUGAGCAACAUAGAGACCCCCCCCAUCUCUACAAAAAAUUUAAAAACUCAGUGGAGGCCAGGCACAGUGUCUCACACCUGUAAUCCCAGCACUUUGGGAGGCUGAGGGGGGCAGACCUCUUGAUCUCAGGAGUUCAAGACCAGCCUGGGCAAAAUAGCAAAACUCUGUCUCU